AAACAGCUUGCUGUUUCGCUGACGAGUGGCGGACGGGUGAGUAAUGUCUGGGAAACUGCCUGAUGGAGGGGGAUAACAGUUAGAAAUAGCUGCUAAUACCGCAUAAGCGCACAGUUCCGCAUGGAACAGUGUGAAAAACUCCGGUGGUGUGAGAUGGACCCGCGUCUGAUUAGCCAGUUGGCGGGGUAACGGCCCACCAAAGCGACGAUCAGUAGCCGGCCUGAGAGGGUGAACGGCCACAUUGGGACUGAGACACGGCCCAAACUCC
RNAcentral lists this ribosomal RNA (268 nucleotides) under uncultured Eubacteriales bacterium. RNAcentral describes it as "uncultured Clostridiales bacterium partial 16S ribosomal RNA". It matches the Rfam family "Bacterial small subunit ribosomal RNA", at positions 73 to 339 of the family's 1533-position model. Lineage: Bacteria; Bacillati; Bacillota; Clostridia; Eubacteriales. The record is from RNAcentral.